This 1584-nucleotide ribosomal RNA is filed under the name Triticum aestivum (bread wheat). RNAcentral's name for it is "partial small subunit ribosomal RNA". Lineage: Eukaryota; Viridiplantae; Streptophyta; Magnoliopsida; Poales; Poaceae. The record is from RNAcentral.
AUGGCUGACACGGCCUCCGCCCCGCUCCUAACAAGCCACAAAACAAGGCCGGCCAAGGCGCCGUCGAUCGAUGACACCAUCGAGACGUACAUGGGCGCCACCGGCGCCCUGCAGCUCCUCAAGGCCGUCUUGCUGGCCUUCGCGUGGGCCUUCGACGCGCAGCAGGUGUUCAUCUCGGUGUUCACCGACGCCGAGCCGCAGUGGCACUGCACCGGCGCCGACGCGUCCUGCUCGGCCGCCGCGGCCUCUCCGUGCGCGCUCCCGUCCGGCGCGUGGGCGUGGGACCGCCCUGCCGUGACGUCGGUGGUCUCGGAGUGGUCACUCAAGUGCGCCGGCCCGGCGCUCGUGUCCCUCCCGGCGUCCUCGUUCUUUGCCGGCUGCCUCGCCGGCGGCUUCCUCCUCACAACGCUCGCCGACUCGCUCCUGGGCCGCAGGAAGAUGCUGCUCGUGUCCAUUGUGUCCAUGUCCGUCGCUGGCGUGCUCACCGCGUUCUCGCCGAACGUGUGGGUGUACGCCGCCCUGCGUUUCAUGUCCGGGUUCGGCAGGUCUAUGGUUGGCACGUGCACGCUGGUCCUCUCCACGGAGCUCGUCGGCAAGAGGUGGCGCGACACGGUGUGCGUGGCGGGGUUCUUCUGCUUCACCCUCGGGUUCCUGUCGCUCCCGGCGCUCGCCUACACGUUCCGGGAGGAAUCGUGGCGGAACAUGUACCUGUGGACCUCCGUGCCUUCCCUCUGCUACUCCAUCCUAUUCUACUUCCUCGUCCAGGAGUCGCCGCGGUGGCUUCUGGUGCGCGGCCGCAAGCAGGACGCCAUCGAGACGCUGCAGCAGAUCGCCUCGCUCAACGGCAACAGCAUCACGUCCAGCUUCUCCAUGCUACACGCCUGCACCAUGAACAAUGACACGGCGGAGGAGAGCAGCGGCGACAGCGUGUUCGCCACGCUGCACUCCAUGUGGGAGCGCCCGUGGGCGCUCCGGAGGCUGGCGGCGAUCAUGACGGCCAGCUUCGGCGUCGGCAUGGUCUACUACGGCAUGCCGCUUAACGUCGGCAACCUGGGAUCCAACCUCUACCUGAGCGUCACGUACAACGCGCUGGCCGAGCUGCCGUCGUCCAUCCUCUCGUGGCUCCUGAUGGGCAGGAUCAACCGCCGGAGCUCGGUGAUCGCGCUCACCGGGGCGGCGGGGAUGUGGAGCCUCGCGUGCGUCAUCAUCCCGCAGGGCGCGGCGCGGAUGGCCGCCGAGCUGCUCUCCUUCUUCGCGACGUGCACGGCGUUCAACGUCAUCAUGAUGUACUCCAUCGAGCUGUUCCCGACGUCCGUGCGCAACUCGGCGGUGGGGCUGGUAAGGCAGGCGCUGGUGCUGGGAGGCGUGGCGGCGCCCGUGCUCGUCGCGCUGGGCCGCGAGAGGAGCUUCUUGUCGUUCGGCGUGUUCGGGCUCGUCGUCGGCUGCUUCGGCAUGUUCGCUGCCUGCCUGCCGGAGACGCGGGGGAAGGGCAUGUCGGACACCAUGGACGAGGAGGAGCACAAGGAGGCGGCGGUGGCCGCUUGCACCGUCGACGAUGCGGACUGUAACAGCGACCUCGUGUAA